Molecule: ribosomal RNA, 107 nt
Filed under: Clostridium sp. AF37-7
Lineage: Bacteria; Bacillati; Bacillota; Clostridia; Eubacteriales; Clostridiaceae
Source: RNAcentral
UGCGCUUAGGGGACACACCCGUUCCCAUCCCGAACACGAUGGUUAAGACCUAAGCGGCCGAUGAUACUAUGCUGGAGACGGCAUGGGAAAGCAGGUGGAUGCCGGAU